UGGGGAAUAUUGGACAAUGGGCGAAAGCCUGAUCCAGCCAUGCCGCGUGUGUGAAGAAGGUCUUCGGAUUGUAAAGCACUUUAAGUUGGGAGGAAGGGUUGUAGAUUAAUACUCUGCAAUUUUGACGUUACCGACAGAAUAAGCACCGGCUAACUCUGUGCCAGCAGCCGCGGUAAUACAGAGGGUGCAAGCGUUAAUCGGAAUUACUGGGCGUAAAGCGCGCGUAGGUGGUUAGUUAAGUUGGAUGUGAAAUCCCCGGGCUCAACCUGGGAACUGCAUUCAAAACUGACUGACUAGAGUAUGGUAGAGGGUGGUGGAAUUUCCUGUGUAGCGGUGAAAUGCGUAGAUAUAGGAAGGAACACCAGUGGCGAAGGCGACCACCUGGACUGAUACUGACACUGAGGUGCGAAAGCGUGGGGAGCAAACAGGAUUAGAUACCCAUGUAGUCCCUGAGCGGGCUGGCAAGGCGCAU
This 472-nucleotide ribosomal RNA is filed under the name uncultured bacterium. RNAcentral's name for it is "bacterial SSU rRNA". It matches the Rfam family "Bacterial small subunit ribosomal RNA", at positions 355 to 825 of the family's 1533-position model. The record is from RNAcentral.